Molecule: long non-coding RNA, 522 nt
Filed under: Elaeis guineensis (African oil palm)
Lineage: Eukaryota; Viridiplantae; Streptophyta; Magnoliopsida; Arecales; Arecaceae
Description: long non-coding RNA (EGUI_LNC000300)
Source: RNAcentral
UCUCAUUUGUUCACCACCAUGGAAAAGCGCAUCUAAUAUUUCCCAAGCACCUUUAAUUGACAUUACGGCUGUCAUUCAUUCAUUUGUUGGGUUCUCAGGAACAGGUCAAGAAGCACAUCAAAUCCAUCGCUGUUGAAGAAUUGACAUUCUUCUGCCAUCCCGGUUGCUCCUCUUUGCUUUUAGUCAAGAUAAUCCCAAAGUCUUGAAGACCGCGCGCCAACUGCCUCAUCGUCAUGCCGAAGAGAAAUUCUUUGUGCACUGCACGUGGUGCCGAACAUGCACCUGCUCGCGGGGAUUGGCUCCUGCACGGGGUCGGACAACCAUACAGAAAAAAAAAAAAAUUAUCCAACUCCAUACAUAAAUUAAUCAGCAUGCAUGAUGCACGCAUUUGCACAUCGUGCAUAGUGCACAAAACAUUACUCUAUACCCACUAAAUCGAUGAGAAUGGCCGCUCUAUACACACCGCAUAUAAUAGAAAUGAUAAAUAAAUCAAAUCGAUCAUAAACAAAAUAAAUCAUAAAC